Pongo abelii (Sumatran orangutan) is the source of this 101-nucleotide small nuclear RNA. NCBI's taxonomy places the organism in Eukaryota, Metazoa, Chordata, Mammalia, Primates, Hominidae. The record is from Ensembl.
UUGUAAGCCAAGUAGCAUUUCUACUAAAAUUGGAAUGAUAGAAUAUUAACAUGGUCCCUGCACAAAGAUGACUGAAAAUUUAUGAAGCUUUCCAUAUUUUU